This 238-nucleotide ribosomal RNA is filed under the name uncultured bacterium. RNAcentral's name for it is "partial 16S ribosomal RNA". It matches the Rfam family "Bacterial small subunit ribosomal RNA", at positions 96 to 334 of the family's 1533-position model. The record is from RNAcentral.
UGGCGGACGGGUGAGUAACGCGUGGGUAACCUGCCUUGUACUGGGGGACAACAGUUAGAAAUGACUGCUAAUACCGCAUAAGCGCACAGUAUCGCAUGAUACAGUGUAAAAAACUCCGGUGGUACAAGAUGGACCCGCGUCUGAUUAGCUAGUUGGUAAGGUAACGGCUUACCAAGGCGACGAUCAGUAGCCGACCUGAGAGGGUGACCGGCCACAUUGGGACUGAGACACGGCCCAA